GGUGGUUAGCGGCGGACGGGUGAGUAACACGUGGGCAACCUGCCUGUAAGACUGGGAUAACUUCGGGAAACCGGAGCUAAUACCGGAUAAUCCUUUUCCUCUCAUGAGGRAAAGCUGAAAGWCGGUUUCGGCUGUCACUUACAGAUGGGCCCGCGGCGCAUUAGCUAGUUGGUGAGGUAACGGCUCACCAAGGCGACGAUGCGUAGCCGACCUGAGAGGGUGAUCGGCCACACUGGGACUGAGACACGGCCCAGACUCCUACGGGAGGCAGCAGUAGGGAAUCUUCCACAAUGGACGAAAGUCUGAUGGAGCAACGCCGCGUGAGCGAUGAAGGCCUUCGGGUCGUAAAGCUCUGUUGUUAGGGAAGAACAAGUAYCGGAGUAACUGCCGGUACCUGAC
This 399-nucleotide ribosomal RNA is filed under the name Bacillus sp. R-32844. RNAcentral describes it as "bacterial SSU rRNA". It matches the Rfam family "Bacterial small subunit ribosomal RNA", at positions 87 to 483 of the family's 1533-position model. Lineage: Bacteria; Bacillati; Bacillota; Bacilli; Caryophanales; Bacillaceae. The record is from RNAcentral.